AACAGAUUCAUAGUUAUCCAAAUCUUGCUCAUAAGGGUCUUCCAAUUUCAAUCUCAGUUUCUCUGCUUGACGACUUGCAGCCUCCUGAGCAAGUGUCCAAUCAUAAAACUUUCGUUUCUCUUCAUCGCUUAGUACAUCGUAAACUUGUCGUAGUUUCAGGAACUUGUCUGAAGCAGACUUUAAUGGAAGUGAAGUUGUGUCUGGAUGGUACUCUUUUGAUAGCCUCCUGUAAGCUGAUUUUAUUUCUUCUAAAUCAGCAUCUGCUGAUACACCUAAGAACCUGACCAGUUUUGGUUCCAGAAAAAAAAUAAAUUAAAUUCAACUCUAAUGAAUUCUUUAAUUUCAAACAAGCGGUAAAAGAAAUCAACGUGAAAAGCAGAGACUCACUGGUAAUGAGAACCAGCAACAUCUUUGAGCAAAUCAGCAAACUUGUCACCCAAAAGAUUCUUCUUCUCUUCUUCUGCGUUUAAUCGUUGCUGUGAAGUACUGGUGCUACUUCCUCCGAUCCACCCUUCAUCUGGGUUGUCCCAAUGGAUUCUUGUGUCCACUCCCGGCGGCGCUCUCUGCCGCUUUCGAGGUCCUUGUCCUGCUGCGAAAACACGAAACCCACCUUUCUUUCUUAUUGUUAGCAGUUGCUGUGGGUCUUUAUUGGAGUUGGUGGUGUUUUGGGUUUUGAGUAAGAGCAAAUAUGAAGCUUGAGGAGCAGCUGUGGAAGCCAUUAGAGAUACAGAGAAGCUUGAAUGGCUUUGGCAUGGCUGCUUUAGAAGUUGAAGGGGGGGGAUUUUCGCAGCCUCAUGUUUAUGUGGCUGAGGGUUUUGAUUAAAUUCCCGUUUGGCGUUUUGUUUGUUGAAAUUUGGACUUCAAAGUUUUAUUUACUCGUGAUUAACAGGGAGCACACUUUUUUUUUAAUAUUUAUUUUUUUUAAAUGGAGACAGGAUAUUUUUAUAAAAUUUAAUAUUUCUCUUAUUUAUUUAAAUUUAUUCAAAUAUACUUAUGAUUGAGUGGAUAUAAAUAUUUAAAUUUAUUAUAAAUUUAUUUUUAUUAAUAAUUUAUAUUUUAAAUUUUAAUAAUUUUAUAAAUUUUUUAAGUUUUAUUUAUGUAAAAUAUACUAUACAAAACAUUAUUGAUUUGUAAAAUAUGUUUAAUUAAUUAUUUAUUUAAAUAGAUUUUAGUUUGUAAUAUUUAAUAUUAUUAUAAAAAAAUUAUCGAGAAAAUUAUAUUUUUAAAUAUAUUAACUAGAUAUUUUUAAAAUUAAAUUUAAUAUAUUUAAUUAUAAAAAUUUCAGAAGGACCUCAAAUGCAAACUAAGAACACAGACUACAUGAAAUGAAGAAGGCGAAAAAGCAAAUGGAAUAAGAGUUUCUUUGAGGGGUAAAAAAGUCAAAACGCAGCUGUAAAGUUCGGGUCGGGCUUCAAAUAUGGGCCUAGAUUUUCUCAGCCUUUGGGCCGAUGCUUGAUUGUUUGGCAUUUGAAAAUUACAUCUUUGUCUUCAGUAUUUUCCUACUUUAUCAGAGUCACCCACAUUAAACUACAUAUUACACCCAAAAUAUUCAAUUAAUCUGACUGUCGUAUAAAAGUUGAUAAACAUUACCCAUCAAAAAUUACUUUAAGAAACUCUAUCUAGAAAGAUAAUUUAUAUUUAAAAAAUAUUUUUUAUUUUUCAUAAAAAUAUUUUUUAAGGAAAUAAUUUAUUUUUUAUUAUUUAAUUUUAAUUUAAAAAUAAAAUUUAUUAAUAAAUUAAUAUGUAUAAAAUUUAGAUAUGAAAAAUAAUUUUCUCUCUUAAAAGACAGUUAUUUUUUUAACAAAAUCAUCUUUUUUAAAAAAAAAAAUAUUUUUUAUUGAUUAAAACUUUUAAUAUAAAGUAACUGUUUAUAUUUUUUUAAUAGAUACAAAAUAUAAUUAUAAUUAUAAUUUUAUUAAAUAUAAAAUAAAUUAUUUAAUAAAAUAUAUUAUAUUAUGUAUACAAAAAUUAAAUUUUUUACAAUGAUUUGAAAUUUCUAUAAAAUUAUUGCAAUAAUAUUAAAACGAUAACUGUUACUAAAUCAAUAAAUUCUAAAAUGUAGCAGUGAGGUCUGAUGCUUUAAUUUCCAUAACCAAUUCUUUUUCUUUUAAAUGUAUUGUAAGUAUUUUUGGGAGAAAUAAUAUAAUUUCUCCAAUCCAAUGAACUAGUUUUCCCAAAAUAAAUAAAUAAGCAAAAGAUCUAAGAUUGCCCAUAAUUUAAUCAUAUAUAGUAUAAAUUUUUUUAAAAAAAUAAUUAAUUUUGAUUAAAAUUUUUAAUAAAAAAAAUAAAUAAAAUCCAUUUUUAAUAUUUUUUUAGUUGGAUAAUGAUCCAAAUUCAUUAACAAAUUUUCCUAAGAUUACUGUCUGAUUUGUGAAAAAAUCCUUUUAGAUAAAAUGCUAUUUUCAUUAAUUAACUAAUUAUAAUUAAUACAUAUUAUAUGCCACUAACUAAUCCAAACAACAGAUGGAUUAAUUAAUUCCCAUAACCAAUCUAAUAAAAUGAAAGAGAGGAGAAGAGCAACCCAAAACAUUAGACUCCAGCAGGCUGAGGUGGCGCAGGAGGCUGAUCAGGAGGUGGAGGAGGAGGAGGAGCGGCCACUGGUGAUACCGGUGGAGCAGCUUCUUUACGGCGGUGUGCACUCUUAUUAUUAUGCAUCCAAACCUUAAGAACGCUGCGUUUAACACCAACUUCAUUGCAGAAGUUAUUAAGCGCCACGUCAUCAUUCUUAUUUAUCCUCCACCCUAUCUUCUCCGCAAACCCCAGCAUCCUCUCCUUCUGCUCCUGCGUAAACUUUGUCCUAAACCUUUUAUUCUUCAUUCCCGCCGCCGCAGCAGCACCGGACCUUCCACCGGACGCCACAUUCACCUCCUCUCUCUCAGGCGUCUCCGAUCUCCGAUCAUGAUCAUCAAUAUCAGUGCCAUCAUCAAAGUAAGAACUCAUCAGGUGUUUCUUCCCAGAAGCAGCAUUGUAUGAGAAAACUUGGUAGUGAUGAUCAUAAUGCUGCAAAGAAGAAGAAGCACCACCUUCUCUUCUGUGGAAAUUACGGUGGCAGCCACAUGCAGCACAGGUGAGGAACUCACGGGUACCGUCAUCGCCACGAGGUAUGAACUCACCACAGCCAUCAUUGGCGUGGCGGCCGAUGGAAGCAGCGUGGUUGCGCAUGCAUUCUUUAUACUUGACGAGGUAGUUGUCGGGAUUAGGACGGAUGAUGAUGGGAUGUUGAGAGCGAGGAUGGUCAUGAUCAUGGUGAUGGGGGAGAGAUGGGGAAGUGUGUUGGUAAGGUACGAGGCUGAGGUCCAUGAUUGAUUAAAGAGACAGCCAGAGGAUGAAGAGAGAGAGAGUCUGAGUGGUUUUAAAGGGAAAAAAGGGUUUUGCUAAAUCAGGAGAAGGAAGAGAACUGUAAGAAUAAAGAAGAGGAAGGGAGUAAUAAGGGAGUGUUUGGUUUGGUGUUUAAUUUGUUUUGUUUUGUCAACUUGUAAUAAUGGUGAUUGUGUAAGAAGCAUGAAAUGAAUUUAAAAACAAAAGGAUAAGUUGAAACCCAUUUGUCUCAUGAUCACAAGUUUAGUUACUUGGACAUAAAUGUCUUAACUUGUAUCUUGCUAUUCAAUAAUUUAUUGCUAAGGAGUGAACAAGAAAAAAAAAAUACAGACUAAAUUAUAGAAAAAAUAGCCCACGUAAAUUAAUAAUUUAAAAUAUCGAUAAAAAAAUUAUUUUUUAUUUAUUAAUAAAAAUUUGUAAUUAUAUUUUUUUUGUAAUUUUUUUUUUUACCUAGACAGUUGAGAUGAAAUGGUAGUAUCUUUUCUACCUUAAUUAAUUUACUCAAAUUUAAAUCCAUAAUAUAUAAUAUUUUUAAGACUUAGAAAAAAUCACUUUGCUUUAUUUAAUGGAUUUAUUCAAUAUAAAUUUAAAUUAAUUGGGCUAAUAAAAUUUAAAUACCAAAUGAUUCAUAAAAAUAUUUUUUUAAUUAAUAUUUAUAAUACUUUUCAUUUAAUAAAAGAAAAAGAAUUUAAUGGACAUCUAUAAAAUGAUUGUAGCAUUUUAUUUUCCAUCCAUUUUAUAAUUUUUAUUUAUUUUUUUAAUUAUUUUAAAAAAUCUUAUAAUUAUAUAUUCACUAUCAUAAUCUUAUUUUAUUUUAUUUUAUUUUUAAAGAAUCUCAAAAAAAUUUAGUAUUUAAUAUUUUUAAUAUAGUUUAUUUUUAACAUAAAUAUUAUUAAAAAUUAAUAAAAAAAAUUUAUCAUUCUUAAUAUGUAUAAAAAAAAUAAAAUAAAUAAAAAAAUUAUGAGACGGGAAUAAUUAAAAUUAAAUAUUCAUUAUAUUCUAUAAUUUUUUUUUAUUUUAUUUUUUUUAUAAAUAUUUAAAAGUGAUAAUUAUUUUAUUUAAAAGUAAAAUUUUCUACUAAUCUUUCAAUUAUACUAAUUUUUAAUAUAAAAUAAGAACACUAAAUUUUAUUAAAACAAUAAAAUUAUUAAUAAUGGCAUAUAAUUUAAAUUAAAUAAUAAAAAAUAAUUUAUAUUUUCAUUAAAAAAUAAUUAAUAAGAGAUUUUAUUAAAAAUAAAAUAAAAUAAAAAUGAGUAUGUGCCAAUUAUAUAACCGAGCUACCAGUAAUAUUUAAUUUACUAAAUUUAUAUAUUCAAACUAAUAAAAAUAAUUAAUAUUUUUAAUUUUAAAAAAAUUUAUAAUAAUUAGUUUUCCAAUAUAUUUUCAUGUGUUAGCAUUAAUUUCAACAUUAGUUUACGGAUCACUUAAAGAAAUUAAUUCACUAAGGCAAAACUAAUCCGGUGGAUUUACAAAUCCACGCGUCAAUCCUCCAUUGCCUUUUUUUUGCGUCCUUACUAAAAUUUACACGUUCGUGAAAGGUCAAUGUCUCAUUAUCGGAGACGGGACCCACCACGUGGUUUUCUGGAGCAGAGUAUCAGACUAUCCAACGGCUGAUAAAAUGAGAGAUCUUCCGCAGUAUGGGCAAAUCUGAUAGGAGAGGAUACGGUGUGUAUGCGUGUGUUUUUUUUUUUCCCCACACGUCAAGUAUUUCCCGCCAUGCUGUGUGGGUCCCAAUCGGAAGAGGAGCGCGACUUUCAAGGUACAGCAGAAGUAGUACUGGGAAAUUAUUCGGUGUAGUUAGUCUACGUGUGCCCUUCACUCGUACGGGUUUGAAUUCCUUACAUGCACCAUCGUUCUAGUUAAAUAAACACAAUUUAAUCCUUGAAAUCCUUUUCUCAGAUAAUUCAAGUCUAGUUUAAACUCCAUUUAUUUUUAAAAAUAUUUUUUACUUUUUAAUACUGAAGACAUUUAAAAAAUUAAUUAAUAGAAAAUUGUAUUUUCAUUAAAAAUAAAUUUAAAUGGUUUUUAUGGAAAAUAAUUUUUUUAAAAUAAUAAUUAAUUUUUUUUACGUUUUAGUAAUCUAUUAAUUCCAUCACGUAUAAAUUUAUUAAUAUUAUUUAUUUUUUAAAAUAUAAUUAAAUAAUAAAAAUAAGUUAUUUUCUCAAAAAUAUUUUUAACAAAAAUAUUUUUGAAUAUUUUUAACAAAAAUAUUUUUGAAUAUUUUUAAGAGUAUUUUAGUCAUUAUUUUUUAAUAUAUUAAAUAUUAUUCUAUAAUUUGCCCGUGAAAAGAGAGGAGAGAUUAACUGUUGAAAAUUUUAGAAAUACUACUAAAAUGUAAAUGUAAUAGUAACAGCUUCUAUUAAUAUUUAAAUUUAGAGAAAAUUAUUAUUAAGCCCUUAAAUUUUUUUAAAAUUAACUAAUUAGUUUUUAUUUUAAAAUUAUUUAAUUAAAAUUUCUAUAUAUUUUAUAAAAUAUAACUCCUUAGUUUUUUUAAAAUUACAUUAAUUAUUUUAAAUUAUUUAUAUUAUUUAAUUUCUAUAAUUUUAAUUAUAUGUAUUAUUUAAUUUUUAAAAUUUUAAAUAUUCAGACUAUUUUAUUUUUUUAAUCAAAAUUAAAAUAGAUUAACAAACUAUUCAUUUAAUAGAAAGAUGAAUGAUUUUGAAAUAGGAUGAAUUAGUGAAUUUUAUAAAAUGUUAUUUUAUAUAAACUGUAUUAUAUAAAUUUUGUUUUAAUUUUGUAUAAGCAAAAAUAAUAAAAAUACUUGAAAAUGAUUUGAUUAUAAAUGUUCAAUUUAAAUCCAAAUCUGUUGAUGACAUUGACUUGGAAGAAGCUUCAGUAGGCAAAUUAUGGUGUAGUGGACUAUGACUGUCACUCUGCUCUGCAAAUUUUUCUCCUACGUUACCCUCACCCUCCCCCCCCUGCUUUUCCAACAAAAAAUUAUUAUAUGAUUUUAUACAUAUAUAAAUAUUUAUUAGAUGGAUCUAUACAGAUUUGAUAUAAAUAAUAAUCUAUUCACAUAAAUUUCAGAAAUUUGCAUUUUGAAUGCAUCAUUUUAGACUUAUUCACUUCGUGACAUGUAAUAUUUUCGGCCCCUCAUUCUUUCUUUUUUUUGCAGAUUGAACAAUUGCAACUUAAUUCUAUUUCCAGCUACAUAAUUUAGUUUUGUUGUUAGAAAAUCACUGAAUUAUUUCUGUUCAUUUGAAUUAAAUUCGGCUUCCUAUUGCCAAUAAAAGGGCUAUAUCUCUUUUAUCCCUAACAGUGGACAGAACACUCCAUCCAUGGUCAAUGAGACAAAAUUUAACACCCUUAAUAAUGAACAGAUGCUCCAAUACAUUAAAAAGUUACAGGCAACUCUCGAACAAUAUAAAAUUCGGGAGGAAGCCUCAUUUAUGGCUCCUAGAAUAAAGGAGGCUUCCUUUAUAAAUAACUUAAUCAAAAGCCGAGUAAUCCAUGUAACUGGGAUCGGUAAUAGCCCGAACGCUAAAUUGAGCAUCUAACUCCACGAUCACAUUGGACCAUUCUUUACUUUUAAUCGAGCUAAAAGCUUCUCUAAUAAUUAAAAUUUCAACAAUUUUUCUCCAACAUCACCAAAAACCACCAUUUGCUUAACAUAAAUAAACUCACCCAAGCUACUACGAAAGCAAGCAUAUAGUUAUUUAAAAAUUUUAACAUUUUUUAAUAGUAAAUAGUUUAGCUUACUUGUAAUCUUAAUUUAAUUUCAAAAUUAUAUAUUUUUCAUUUUUAUUUAUUAAUAUUUAAUUGGAAAUACAUUAACGAACCUCUUAUUUUUGCUUGUGAAAUUCUAAACUUUUUGCCAUAAUUACAUUCUAAUUUAUUUAGGACUUGUUUGAAAAUUAUUUUCUUUUUUGCAAUAACUUAAUUCAGUUUUCUUUCUCAUAAAAAUUAAUAAUUUAAAAAUAGUUCAUUUUAAAAUAAAUAAAAAUUAUGUCAAAAUAAUAUAAUUGGACGAAAGAAAUCUUUUGAAAACAGAAUAAAAAAUAACCACAGGCACAAAGUGAAUCAAAGAAAAUACAAACUUCCCAAGUCAUUUACAACUAUCAAGAUUUAAGAACAAAUCUUAAACAAAUAUAAUUCCAUUUUCCUUGAUAGUGUCAAGAACAAUCCCAAGCUUACCUUCAAUUCUUUCAUUCUUUCUGGGUUCAUAAGCCAUUGCAUAUACAUCAGCUUCCUUUGAUCUCUCAGCAAUAAGUUGCCCUAUAACUCUACAGGCAUUGUGAUCGGUGAGCGACGGUAAGCUGUUUCGAAGAUCCUUGGCAUUUGUCGUAGCAACCGAUAUCACUUUACUCGUUGCCCGGUGCAUAACUUUCGCGUGGAUAAAUCUCUUCGAAAAGAAAACAUUUAGUAAGAAUGGCCUCAUGUACAUAUCUGUCCUCUGUUUCCAUGAUUUCUUGUUAGGUUUCUUUGCAGCUUCGCUUCGAGAUCUCCUCGUCCAGGCAGCUUGAAUGAAAGAAUUCUACACAUGUAUCAAGACAAAUGAUUAUGAUUUGCAGCUUUUUAGAAAUUUAAAAGCUCACUGAUUUACAUACAAACAAUUCAGAGAAUGCCAGCAGACCAGAUGAAGCACAAAUGCCAUCUCAUACUUCCUUCACUAAGUUGAUAGUAAUUGAAUUCAACACAUUAACUUCAUGCUGGCUGCGAAUUUGCGAAUUACUACUAAGCAGAGACACCAGUGUCAAAAGAAGACCAACAAGUUUAAGGAUGAAAAUUUCACUUUUUUAACAGGCAGAACGUCAAGGAUAAGCAUCUAACAAACCAUGAAAGCGCCUGAAACAAGCACUAGAAAAAACGAUAGAGAUAACAAUCAAGUUGGUUUCUCAAAUGUCAAUAGCCAUAAACUAAGCUGAAUUUUGAUCCCAUGUAACAUUCAUUCCCUUUGCCUUGAGAGAGAGACAGUAAAAGCGGAAGAGGGAGCCCGUAGCGGCGGCCGGAGGGUAGCUAUGGCCUCUAUGGGACUACGCUUCACGGGCCCCUCAGAGGCCACUUCUCUAUUAAUUCCACUAUAGCAAAUUGUAUUUGUUUUUUUAUUGUUUUUGUGUCACUUAAGGAGGAUAACUUAAUCUUUCCAAUCUCCUUGGAUUCAUACAAAAGAAACACAUGAUGCACCCUCAUGCAGGACAAAAGACACAAGCUCAAGUGCCUCUUAAGUCUAACAUGAGUUGUAAAAAAUGCUAGCUGUUGAAGUAAGCCAUUAACUCCUUUCUGCCACCCUCCAGACGACAGUAAAUAUGUGGUCUAGUCCUGGCUUGCACUGCUCAACAACUGUCCUACACUAGUACUACCGAAAGUAGCACUGGCACAGAAAUAGUUUUAUACUCCUUAGCCAACAUAGCCUGAACUCAUUCCUUAUGACACAAAAAGGACCAAUGACCCCAAUAAUUGUCCUUGGGCGAUAACUCAAGCAGAUAGGGUGCAGUUUAGAUUCAAAUACUAAAUCCGCAAUUAAAGAAAAAAUUAAGGGGCCUUAUUUGAUUCCUGCAAAGGCCCAAUUCAAAUUUCAAAGGGCAUUGAUAGCAGAAAAUACUUGUGUAUCCCUAUCCCAUGUCUUCCAGGAAACUAUUUUGGACAUCAAAAACUGCAUUUAGAAAUAUUUUUGUCUUUAACCCGGCUCCCAAAGUUACCACUUCAAGUCAGCAGAGGAACUGAUUAAUUCAAAACCAGCUAUGAGAAGUGGAAUAUGGCACAGAUUUCCAACUAGUAAAUGUUUGUAAAUUUCUGACAAGAUAAGUUGUCAUUCAAUUUUGUCAAUAAAAAGUAAAAAUUGCAUAUUGGAAUCAGAUCAAAUUUCUAAUUCAGUAAUUUAAAAACUAACAACCACCAGCCAAUCCCAAAAAUUACACUUGUUUCAUAAGCUAAUGAACCACCCAUUAUUGAAAUAUGAUAAUAUCUCACAAGAAAAACACAACUAGAUCUUCAAGUGUCUUGUUAUUCUGUUGAGGUUUUAAACUACUUAGAAUAAGUCUAAGCACUAGUAAUUCUUAUGCUACUAGCCUACUACCAAUAAGAUUUUAGUCUAACGAAGCUUCCCACUUAUUUUUUAGCAUUCAAUAUUAUGACAUUAGCGUCUAAAUUUAAAUGAACUUCUGCAGCAAUAUAAAAUUUUCCCUUUUGAAUCCAGCAUAAAAAAUUUACUUGUGCAGUAACAUCUUCAAGUACCAGAACCCAUAUAAGACUAGAUUUAGAUAUUUCAUCUGAAAUUUUCACUCACUAGCACUGUUUUCUAAAAUCCAAUAAAACAGGGAUUUAGGCUCGCUCAAGUCUAAAGAAAGUCUCAUCAUUUCCUUUUAGACACAGUGACAAAGAAGAUAAAGAAUAAGUGAGAUUCUUUAUCAUCAAUUGCAUUGCAUACAAUUUAAGGAGGAUUUGAGUGAGAUCUAAGUUGUAAUUAACUCCAUUAGAAGUUUAUGUUGAGAAGCUACUCUAAGCUAACAGGUUCAAUGGAAAUACACCCAAAAGCUAACAAUGAGAUCCCAUUUUCUUUGAAUUCAAAUCCCAUCACAUUGUUGAAUUCCACCAUGAUAAUAGAACCUCAUUUACCACUUCUGAGUAUAAGAAUAUAUGUAUUAAGCGAAUCUAACACUUCUAUAAUUUUAUCAAUUGUUUUUCAGUCUACAGUAAGGUUUUUCAGUAGAAAAACUGAUUAAUGGUAAAACUCCAUAAUCAAAUAAGGAAUUAAGGAUACUCGAUUAACAAGUAUAAAGUAAGGGCAAUAUAUUAAGUGCUAAGAAAACAAAUAAAUUUGAAAAGGCAGCAGAAGCAGAAAAAAAAGGGAAAAAAUAAAUCCGAAAAUAAUCUCAUUUAGUACAAAUCAACAGGAAGCAGAAACCCAAUUUCAGUUGAGGUAAGUUAUCCAAGUCUAGUAAAACCCAACACAACCAAAGAAACAGAAGAAAAAAAAUGCAAACUCAUUUCCUUUUCACAGGAACCAAACAGAGAUAAGAAAGGGAAAUUAAAAUAGAAAAGGGUUUGAUAGAUUGAAGAAGAAAGCGUAUACCUUGUUGAGAACGGGAUUAGAAAGGAUCGAGAGCGAGUUGUUACUGGUGAAGAUGGUUAUACUAGGAAAGGAAGAAGCCCAUGAGAGAGAAGCGGGUUUGCCAGCGCGAGUUGAGUGAGUCGGGAGUGAGUCAGCAGGUACAAGUGAGCAAGCUGAAGCAGCUGCAGAAAAAGAAGAAGAGGAUAUUACCCACGCCAUUGCUUUGAUGGGCAACAGUGGAAUCGCCGUUUUCCACCGCAAAAUAUUGCCCAAUUUGCUUCUCAGGCCGACAUCCGGCGGUACGAAGAGAACCCAGCCCGACCCAAUUAUUUGGGCUUAUUUUAUGCACGUAUUAAUUUCAAAUCCAGACCAUUUAUUUUUUUUACUGCAAAGUUGAAUAAUGUCUAAUUACUAUGCACGUGUUAAUAACUGCUUCUCCAAAAUAAUUUAAUUAAAUUAAAAUAAGUAAGUUACUUUCUAAAAAUUUCUAAUUUCUCAUAAAGUUUAAAAAAAUUAAUUAAAUAAAAAAAUUUUUAUAUUUUUUAAAAUUUUAAAUUCUUUAACUGAGUUAUUUAUAAUUUUAAUAAUAUUUAAAUUAAAUUUUUUGAGAUAAGAUCAUUAAAAUAAUAAAAUUAAAUAUUAAUUAAAAAUAUCAAAAUAAUUAUCGUAAUAUUAUAUUAUUAGAUUUAAAUUGUUAAUUUUUUAUUUUAAUGAAUUUUAUUUAAUAAUUAAUUAAUAUUUAAAUAUAUUUUAAUAAGUAUUAUCUUAAAUUUUUAACUUUGUUGUAUUUUUACAUUUAAAAUUUUAAUAUUUUUUUGAAAAAUAUGAUAUUAAAUUUAUAGGUUUUGAUUCAUAUAUAUAUUAAAACAAUUAAAAUUUUUAGAUUCAAUUAUUAAAAUAAUAAAUUUAAAUAUUAUUUAAAAAUAUCAAAGAUAAUUACCACAAUAUUAAAAUAUUAUAUAUUAAUUAUCUAAUUUUAAAUAUUAGCAAUUUUAUUAUUAUCUAAAUGUUUAAAAAAAAUUAAAUUUAUCAUCUAUUUUUUUAAGGGGAUUUAUAUUUAUUCCUUACAUAUUGCUAUUAUUAACAAGUCAGUCUCUAUAUUUUUCAGAAAUCUAUUAAAACGUACUUAAUUUUUAUUUUUAUCAACGAAAUAAGUACUUCUGUUAUUUUUUCUAUUAAAAAUAGAUAAAAAAUGAGAGAGAAAAUUUUUAAAAUUUAAUUUUGCCCUCAAAUAAAAUUUCUUAUUUAAUUCUUGGAUAUUACUGUUAUUAACAAGUUAGUCUCUACAUUUUCAAAAAUCUAUUAAAAAAUUCUUAUCUUUUCUCAUAUCUAUUAAAAAGUUUUUAUAUGUUUUUUCGUUAAUAAAAUAGUCUCUUCUCCUUCUAAAAACAAGAAAAAAAUGAUGAUGAAGAAAUAGAAUAAGAAGAAAGAGAAAAAAAUGCCAUGAGGAUGAAGAAAAAAAAGAGAAAAAUCUCUUCCUUUUUCUUCUCCUUAAAGAAGAAUUAAAAAAAAUUAAAAAAAAAUUAAAAGAAAAAAAUAAAAGAAAAAGGAAGAAUCAACAACAGAGGAAAAAACAUAAGGUAGUUUGAUUUUUUGUUAUAUUUUUUAUAGCAGAAAUAGAUGAAAUAAUUAUUUUAUUGACGUAGAGAAAAAAUAAGAACCUUUUAAUAAGUUUUUAGAAAUAUAGAAACUGAUUUAUUAAUAAUAAUAAUAUUUAAAAAUUAAAUUAUAAAUUUUUUUUAAAUUAUAUUCUUAACAAGACUUUAUCGUAAAUGAAGCCGCACAAACUAUAGAAUGCUAACCUCAUAUAUUUUAAAAUUCUUAAUAAAUAUAUUAAAAAAUUUUAAAUAUUUUUUUAUAAAAAAAUAUUUCAUAAUUUAAAUUUAAAAAUAUUAAAAUAAAAUAUUAAAUUUUAUUAUGAUAAUAGUAAUUACUGAUAAAUUAAAUUAUAGUCAAAUGCAUUAGAAUCCAUUCUUUACUCUCCAUAAAAAUUGCAAAAUAUCUUGCUAUAGUACAAACUCUAAAAAAACUUCUUAGCUUCUAACGUUACAAAUUUAGAGUUUUAUCUAAAAAACGGACAAACAAACUCUAUUUUUCUCUAUACAUUUAUUUUAUUUUUUUAUAAUUUUAUUUUUUUACUGUUAAAAAAAUUAAAUUUUUAUUAUCAAAGGUGUAUAUAUAUAAAUACAAUAUUUUUAUCUAAUAGAAAUGAGUUUUACUUUAUUUUAUAAUUUGAUUAUAAUUUGCAUAGAAAUCCGAGGUUUAGCCUGCUGGAAAGUACAUCCUUGUAGUCUUGUGAGGUCAAAGGUUCGACUCCCACACCCCUAUUUAAAAAAAAAAAAAAAAUUUCCAACAGUAAUAUAUUGCGUAAGAUAAUAACUAAUCAGCUUAAUUGAAUCAAAAGAGAUAAUAUUCUUAAUCUCUAAGUUAGUUUUAUAUUAUGUAAUAAGUAAAUUAAAAUUAUAUAAAUAUUAAUGUAGCUAUAAUUAAUAAUUAUGUAAGUUUUGUAUAUUUUAUUUUAUAAUAUAUGAUAUUUACUAAUUAUAAAACUAAUUUUAUUUAAUUUUCGUAACAAUUUUUAAUUAUAAUCUUUAUUUAGAGUAAAAAAUAUUUGUAAUAUUAUACAAGUGAAAUUAAUUUCUAAUGUUAUUAAUUUUAAAUUAAGGACAAUUAAAUUACUUAUUACACAAAAAUAAUUUAUUGAAGUAUAAUUUAUUAAAUUUAAUAAAUUUUAACAUUUAAAAAUUUUAUUUAUAAGUAUAUAUUAUAUAAUUUACAUUUAUCUAAUUAUUUAUAAAUAUACAAUUAAAAUUUAAGCAGACAAUAAUUUUAUUAUUUAAAUUAAUUGAAAAUUAAUAAAAUUUAAAAUUUGUAUAUAUUUAAAUUUAUAUGUGGAUGAUAAAGUAUUUUCAUUAAAAAUAUAUAAUAAUAUAUAGUAAUUAAAUAUAAUAUAAUAUUUUAAUUUAUAAUAUUAAUUUCUGUCACAUAAAUUUUAUUAUUUUUUUAGACUAUAAUUACAUAUAAAUUAAUUAUUAUGAAUUUAAUUUUAAAAAAAAUUUAAAAAUAUUUUUUAAUAUGCACUUAAUUUGAUAGUAAAUGAUAAGUCAAAUCGCAAAUACGAGAGUUCUCAUAUAUUAUGAGUUCUCAUACUUUACUCUUCUACCCUCGAUUCCAUUUCAAAAAAAAUAUAAAAUAAAAUAUUUAAUAUAUUUAAAAUAAAUAUAAUUAAAAAUUUAAUAAAAAAUUAUAUUUUUUAAUAUAUAAAAAAAUAAAAUAAAUAAAAAUUACGAAAUAAAAUAUAUAAAAAGAUCGAAAGGCGAGGAAUGUGCAGUUAGAAAUGGAGGACUUGCUCAAACACGAUAGAAGAUGGAUUUGAGUGUCAUUUAGUUUCAAUUCAAAAGAUAUAAAGCUGUUACUUGGUAUAUCUAACUGAUUAAAUUAGUUAAAUUAUGAACUAACUGGAAAACAAGAGCUAUAAAAAUGUGCCAAUAAGCUUCAAGCUACGACAUUAUAGCAUAAAUAUCUGAUUUGAUAUCUUUUGACAAAUCAGGAGAGUUAGAACACAACGAGUUCAACAGUCCGUAGCCUCUAUUUCUAAGAGUAACAAAACGCAAAAUAUACAAGAGCAACUACAAGCUUCACAUAUAGAGCUAAGUUCAACAGCCUGAGAGUAAUUCAUGACUGCUCAAUGCUCAUGAUUCCAUUGACUGAAACCAAGCAUGGCACUCAUCCAAAUCAGUUGGUGGAGUAACCCUCUUGCGAAUAAGCAUUUCUACAGUUGGGCAUUUCCUCUUCCUCCCACCUCGUGCCCUUGACCUGAAUUGUUCAUCAGACUCUUCAAAAUCACCAAGAGUAUAGACAUGGCACCCAGAUUUCUCAUGUUUAUCUCUGACAUGCUUGUACGCAAAUCUCAUAUCACAACCUGGAAAUCCACACGUGAAAGGUCUGCCUUCAAGGUGCAGAGCCUUAAUAUGCAGAUUAAGAUUUGUUUUACUAGAAAAUGUGUGGCAACAAUCCUCAAAAUGGCAUUUAAUUCUCUCCAUCGACUGACCACCAACUUCGUGGGUGCGGAGAUGUCUCUUCAAGUUCUUUUUCAGCUGUUCCGUCCCACAGAUCUCACAAGUCACGUAUCUGUGACAUGAAUGGAUGUGGGCCUUGAGGCAUUCAGCAUUGGAAAAAUGUUUCAUACAGCCUGGUUCUGCACAGAAUGCCUCCACUGAUUCUAAUUUGACAUGUGACUCCUCGUGUUUUUGCAGCUUUGAAGGAUAUUUAAACACCUUCCCACAACCAAUUUCAUGGCAAACAUACUGCUUCUGACCAACAUUAGUGGGGGGCGAAUUCUCGCUAUGGAGUUCUUUAACAUGCCUUUUAACAUUGCCUUGGAAAAUAAAUUCACGGUUGCAAUUCUUGAUAGGACACUUGAAGAGCUUUCCCUCAUGCGUAAGAAGGUGGCGAGUCAAGUGGUCUUUCCUUCUGUAGCUGGCAUGGCAAUCAUCAGCUGAACACACAAAUGGUCUCUGCAAAAUUAGAUAUAACACACAUUAGAAGCAACAAUUACAUGUAUAAUUAAACAUAAUUGGUUACACUAGUCAAGAAACCUUCAAACCUCAUUCAACCAGUGCGUGAUUGAGGCCCACUUGAUGGAGCUUCUCAGGAGGUCACCCAACCUGAUACUAGUCCAUCAAGUCCAAACUUUCAGCCUCUCGCAUUUUGGAGUUCUGCAUGUGGGAUCCAAUGCUUCACGCCACCACAUAUAAUGUUCUCAUAUUAGAAAAAGCUCUCCUGAAAGAUUAUUACUUUUCAAUUGAUGUGUAGACUCAAAAGAAUGAAACUGACAAUAUACUACCAAUAAACAGAAUACAAGUCACAAUCCUCAAGUAAUGAAGAAGUUGUCUUCAGCAACACUGAUGUCAAAGAAGAAAAAAUAAUUCAAACUACAAAAAUAUUGAAGGAACAAAGGCAGCUCUAAAGCGUUAUUAUAUUUCUAAUUUUCCACGCAAGUGAUUAGUUCAGAACAAAACCUUCCAUAAAAAGCUCCAUAAUACUAGCAACUCAAGACAUGAAUAUCAUUUGAAUCCCUUUCAAUCGAGUUCUUAAAAAAAAAAUUCUAACUUUUUCAAAUCUUCCAACUCAGACGAAGAAAUACAAAUCCAUCGCUGAGAGAAAAUAGUGCGUAAUUGNNNNNNNNNNNAAAAAAAAAAAAAAAACAACCCAGAAAAUUAAUUUCUUCAUCCAUUUCAAUUUUCAACACUUAUACUUAGUUUACAAAUUACUAACAACCCAAAAGAUUUUGGCCAUAAGCAAACCAGCAGUAAUAUGCACAUCCCAAGGAGCAACAAUUAACGUUCAAUAGACACCAAAACAAGCAAAAAAACAAGAUAAAUAAUUUAAGAGCCAUAUCAAUACCAUAAGAGAAUGACUUUGCAUAUGUUGUUUCAGAUAUGCAGGCUUUUUGAAACUAGCACCACAUUCUUGGCAAGUAUUAGACUUCACUCCCUCAAUUUUUUCUUCCCCAUGAGCUUCUUCCUUGUCCAUCUCUUCCUAUACCAUAAGAAUCCAAAAAAAAAAGAGAGAAAAUAAGAUACUAAUCAAACUACCAAAAAUCAAAUAACACCAGUUUGGUUACCAAGAAAACAGAUACUGCAACACCAAAGUCACAUGAUCUAAGGAUCCAAGAAGCCAAUUUGUUAAAGUAAGUGAUGACAGAUAGAUGAAAAACCUUGUGGUGAGUUUGAAUAUGAGAAGUGAUGAGAGACUUCUUAGAUCUGCAAAUUCCACAAUAAUCACAGAAAUAACGUCUGAUAUCUCUAAAAAUAGGCCUCGGCCUUUCGAUCUCAGCUGUUUCUUCCAUUUUGUUGUCGCUCUCGCUCUGAAUCUACACCACGCAGACCAGCUGUUUGGAAGAAGAAGGAGACCGAGCAAGAGGUACACUGGCUUCCUUUUAUCGCGCAAGGUAUAACCGAUGGGAAGAACUACUAAAAACCCUAGGUCUUGUGGCUGUGGGCCUACAGCCAAUCUUUUGUUAUUAAUUUUUUAGAUUUUAUUUAAAUAUAUUUAAUAAAAAUUCAAUUUAUACAGAAAUAAUUUUAAUAACGAACAAAUGAAAUAUUAUAAAUUAAAUUUUAAUAUAAUAAAAUAAUAAAAAAUUACUAAGUAGUACUUUUAGUUAAAAAUAUCUUAUUAAUCAGUUUAUUAACUUUUUAAAAUUACAUUAUGAUGAUCUGAGAUCCAAUAGAAUAGGGUUUUACAAGGGUUCUUGUAUUACAGAAUAAGGCUUAAAACUUUCUGAGGAGGGGACUCCUCUUUUAUACAUUGUCUUGCUUGCUGGUGACGUGUAAAGGUCUCUCCAGGAUUGGGCCACGCGUCUCUGCCAUACAGAUUCGGGUGUACUAGGGUAUCAGCUGCCUGCUACAUGCGUAACGGCCUCUGAUUCUCCUCAUGCGUACGUUCGAGCGGAUCUGCCAGGCUGUCUGGUGAGUACUGUUCUGGACCCCGGGCUGGGCCGAGAGUUGGGCUGGACGCUGGGCCUGAGAGGGGUCUGCUGGUCAGGGAUCAGGCUGGACUGAGUGAGGAAGCUUGGUCGAGCCCGGCCCGGAAGCUGGAAUGAGCCAGGCUUGUUGGAGGUAUCAAGUACGUGGGCCUCUGUGUCAUGGGCCUUUGGCUGUGGUCAAGCCCCUGUUCUGGGGUGAGGAAAUCCAGCGGUCAUCACAUUAAAAUCAAUAGUGUAAUUGAAUAAUUUCAACCGAACUUUUGUAAAGUUUAAAUUUAUUUAUUAAAAAGGUUUAAACGCUCGAACUCAAAUGGUAAAUUGUAUGUUAGACUUAUAAAAGAUAUACAUUCGAAAUCUGCAUAGCAAGAACGCAAAGCAAGAACAAAGUGCGAAACUAAUUGGAUAUUCCGAUCGAUUGAACUUCGUUGCGGUAUUGUGGAUUUCAUAACUGGUGAACGUGAUUGGGAUUUAAUUAAGGGUGUCGAUAUCGUUGACAUCAAUUGCUGAUUUAAUUAAGUCACUAUUGCUGUAGAGUUUGAAGGGUGCCAAAAUUGCAAUCUAAUUGCUGAGUGUGAGUGUAAUUGCGUGUUGAUAUUGUCGACAUUUGCUGUGGAUUUAAUUAAGCUGCCAUUGCCUGCUAAUAUUGUGACUUGAACCAGUGUGAAUCGAUGUCGACAUGUUCAAGCCAUUGAUGUCGUGACUGGUAUCAAGCCAUUGCCAUACCGAGAUGUUGAACCAGCUAUUGAGCAGCCUCCAUUACUGUUCUAAAAUUGGAAGCCUCAUUGCAACUCUUGUAAGUGAAAUUUUAUUAUUUUCUAAAAGAAAUACAAACUUAAUUGUGAGUGUGCCAAAAUUGUAUUAAUCUUAAUUGCUGAGUCAAAUUUCAAUAUGAAAUUGUUGUUGUUGUAGAAUAUUUGACGAUUAGGAGUAAUAACUUUUCUCUCGCCCUCUGUUUUUUUUAUAUGUAAAGAUGGGAUGUACAUUUCAUCUUUUUUAUUAUUUUAAUAACAUUGGCUAAUAGAAUUUAAGAUUAAUUUCUUAAAUUAAAAAAAUAUUUUGAGUCACGAUAUCAUAAUUAUAUAAUCAGUUAUAGAGUAUAAUGAAGAUAAAUAAAGUAAAAAAAUUACACUCACAUUGAAAUAUUAGCCUUUAUAUACCAAUUCAAACUGUUUUGUUAAAAAAAUGUUAUCCUGCAGAUUCAAAAUAUUAUACUGUAGAUUCAAACUAAUACUUCAUAUACAAUUCUUUUAUGUACCGAUCAAUUUGCAUCACUGUAAUAAGAUAUAAAUCAAUAUUUUUUUUAUUCUAUAUUUAUUUUGUAUAUUAUAAUAGAAUUAAUAUUUUAACUUUAAUAUUUAUAAAUAAAGAUGUACUAUUAUUUUUAUUAUAUUUAAUUAAUUUAUAAAUUGAUGAAUACUUGUAAAGUUAUAUUUUAUACAGAGUAUGAGAUUAUAAUGUUUAUUUAAAAUUUUAGAAAUGUUCAACGUACUGGAAUUAUAAAUUAAUUGUAAAUAAAAUAUUAAAAAAAUUUAAGUUAACAUAAAAAAUUUAUGUGAAUUAUUAAUAGAUUUCAAGAUGUUAAUCCAUUUAGUUUAUAUUUAAUAUAUUACUAUAAAAUAUUUAGCUUUUAUAAUUUAAUUAUAUUUUUAUAUUUAAUACAAAUCUAAUUUUAUAAGCGGAGAAAAUAUUAAAAUAAUUUUAUUUUGUAAACUUUUUUUAAUAACUUAAAAGACAUUAUUAUUAUUAUCGAUUUAUUUUAAUAUUUAUAUUUUUUUAGUUAUUUCUUUAAUAUAUACGUAGUAAAACGAAUAUUUAUUGUUAAUUAUUUUUUAAACAAUUUUUAUAACAUGAUUAAUUUAAAUAUUUGAAUUAUAUAUUAUGAGUUUAUUUUAUUUAUAAAGUUAAAUUACAUAUUUUAAUUUAGUUAUAUUUUUAAAAAAAUUGGAAUUAUAUUAAAAAACAAAUAAUGAUAUUAACAAUUAUUUAAUUCAAUUUUAAUGAACAUAUUAUUUUCUGUUAAUAGUAAUUAUUUCUUCAACGAUUAAUUAUUUACAUUGUUAAUUAUAUUAACGACAAUAUUAGCGAUUGUUGUAUUUUUAAAUAUAAUAACUAUAUGUUUUUUCUUUAAUAUUUAUUAACAACAAUAAUAAUAAUCGUUAAUAAUCAUAUAAGUGAUUGUAAUAAUUGUUUAAUUCAAAAUUUAACGAUUAUAUCAUCACUCAUUAAAGGUUUAAUAAUCAUUUAUUUUCAUCGGUAAUACAUUUAAUGACCAAUAUUAAUCGUCAUUAUAUUUAAAAUAACAGUUUUUAAAUAUAAAUUUAAUGAUAAUAUUUUUUUAAUAAAUGUUAAUGACAAUAAUAAUAAUCAUUAAUAGUAUAUAAAUAACGAAACAUUCUCGAUACUCUCGUUAUUAAUAAUAAUGAUCCGUAUUAUGAUAUCUCGUUAAAAUACCAACUGUCACAGACCCACAUUUUGAUAUUCAUUUGGAACCAUGCGGCUCUUGACUUGAAUGCCUUCAAGUCAAGUCAGCCUUAAGAAUUAUCUAAAUAUCCUGAUUAGUCAAGGUUACAUUCGCGAACAACGAAACUAAUAGACAGCAUUCAAUCAGAAGUCUCACAGUAGGCAUAAAGAUAAGAACUGAAUAUGAUAAUUUAUGAACAGAUUACUUAUUUUAUUCCAAUGGUAAAAUAGUAAUUAUAUAUUAUCAUCGAUACCGUCGCUAUAAUAAUUCUCACUUUUGUUGUAGACAGGGGAACAGUCUACAAUGAGAAAAGGCACAGUUCAGGAAAUCCAUAGGCCUAUAAUAGUCAACUGGGCCCAGCUCCUACUGGUGGUCAACUAGUUAGGGGUGAGCAUUCGGUCGGUUCGGUUUAAAACCGAACCGAACCGAAUAAACCGAAAACCGAAAUUUUAGUUUUUAUGAAAAUCGAACCGAACCGAUUUUGGUCAGAAACCGAAUCGAACCGAACCGGUCUG
Molecule: long non-coding RNA, 19775 nt
Filed under: Manihot esculenta (cassava)
Lineage: Eukaryota; Viridiplantae; Streptophyta; Magnoliopsida; Malpighiales; Euphorbiaceae
Description: long non-coding RNA (MESC_LNC001018)
Source: RNAcentral